RNAcentral lists this ribosomal RNA (1266 nucleotides) under Neogovea virginie. RNAcentral's name for it is "partial large subunit ribosomal RNA". It matches the Rfam family "Eukaryotic large subunit ribosomal RNA", at positions 666 to 1852 of the family's 3401-position model. Lineage: Eukaryota; Metazoa; Arthropoda; Arachnida; Opiliones; Neogoveidae. The record is from RNAcentral.
CCAAGGAGUCUAACAUGUGCGCGAGUCAUUGGGACUUGUUCAUGCCCAAAGGCGAAAUGAAAGUGAAGGACGGCGGCAGUCGUCUUCGUUGGGACCCGCUUCUUCGGGAGCGGAGCACCAACGGCCCGUCCCGAUCGCUUUGUCGAUGGGGCGGAGCGAGAGCGUACACGUUGGGACCCGAAAGAUGGUGAACUAUGCCUGGGCAGGACGAAGCCAGAGGAAACUCUGGUGGAGGUCCGCAGCGAUUCUGACGUGCAAAUCGAUCGUCAGACCUGGGUAUAGGGGCGAAAGACUAAUCGAACCAUCUAGUAGCUGGUUCCCUCCGAAGUUUCCCUCAGGAUAGCUGGCGCUCUUUGGAGGCAUUCUCAUCCGGUAAAGCGAAUGAUUAGAGGCCUUGGGGCCGAAACGACCUCAACCUAUUCUCAAACUUUAAAUGGGUGAGAAGUCCGGCUUGCUCGACUGAAGCCCGGACGGUCUUGGAUGCGAGUGCCCAGUGGGCCACUUUUGGUAAGCAGAACUGGCGCUGUGGGAUGAACCAAACGCCGGGUUAAGGCGCCCGAUGCGAGACGCUCACGAGACCCCAUGAAAGGUGUUGGUUGCUAUAGACAGCAGGACGGUGGCCAUGGAAGUCGGAAUCCGCUAAGGAGUGUGUAACAACUCACCUGCCGAAGCAACUAGCCCUGAAAAUGGAUGGCGCUUCAGCGUCGAGCCCAUACCCGGCCGUCGCGACUGGUGGUUACAUUUGGUCGCGACGAGUAGGAGGGCGCAGGGGUGUGCGUUGAAGGUACCGGGAGCAAUCCCGUCUGGAGCCACCCCUGGUGCAGAUCUUGGUGGUAGUAGCAAAUACUCAAGUGAGAACCUUGAGGACUGAGGUGGAGAAGGGUUCCAUGUGAACAGCAGUUGAACAUGGGUCAGUCGGUCCUAAGGAAUAGGGGAAAUCCGUUACGAAGCGGGACCUUGUACAUGCGAUACUGGUCCCGCAUUGGACCGAAAGGGAAUCGGGUUAAUAUUCCCGAACCCGGACACGGAGAUCGACCCCUCACGGGGUUCAGUGCGGUAACGCAAACGACCUCGGAGACGUCGACGGGAGUCCCGGAACGAGUUGUCUUUUCUUUGUAAGGGCUCGGCUCCCUGGAAUCGGCUCACCCGGAGAUAGGGAUGCUGUCCCCGUAAAGCACCGCGCCUCUUGCGGUGUCCGGAGCACCCCCGUCGGCCCUUGAAAAUCCGAGCGAGAGAUAGUGAUUUUCGUGCCGGACCGUACCCAUA